AGAUAAGCCANGCAUGUCUAAGUUACAUGCCGUAUUAAGGCGAAACCGCGAAUGGCUCAUUAAAUCAGUUAUGGUUCCUUGGAUCGUACCUUACUACUUGGAUAACUGUGGCAAUUCUAGAGCUAAUACAUGCAGCAGAGCUCCGACCUUAGGGGACGAGCGCUUUUAUUAGACCAAAACCAAUCGGACCUCGCGUCCGUACUCUGUGGUGACUCUGUAUAACUUUGGGCUGAUCGCACGGGCCCGUCCCGGCGACGUAUCUUUCAAGUGUCUGCCUUAUCAACUUUCGAUGGUAGGUUACGCGCCUACCAUGGUCGUAACGGGUAACGGGGAAUCAGGGUUCGAUUCCGGAGAGGGAGCCUGAGAAACGGCUACCACAUCCAAGGAAGGCAGCAGGCGCGCAAAUUACCCACUCCCAGAACGGGGAGGUAGUGACGAAAAAUAACAAUACGGGACUCUUUUGAGACCCCGUAAUUGGAAUGAGUACACUCUAAAUCCUUUAACGAGGAUCCAUUGGAGGGCAAGUCUGGUGCCAGCAGCUGCGGUAAUUCCAGCUCCAAUAGCGUAUAUUAAAGUUGUUGCGGUUAAAAAGCUCGUAGUUGGAUCUCAGUUCCAGACGGGUGGUCCGCCUACCGGUGGUUACUGCCUGUUCUGAACAGCCAGCCGGUUUCUCUUGAUGAUCUUCACCGGUUGUCUUGGGUGACCGGCAAGUUUACUUUGAAAAAAUUAGAGUGCUCAAAGCAGGCGCGACGCCUGAAUAAUGGUGCAUGGAAUAAUGGAAUAGGACCUCGGUUCUAUUUUGUUGGUUUUCGGAACACGAGGUAAUGAUUAAGAGGGACAGACGGGGGCAUUCGUAUUGCGACGCUAGAGGUGAAAUUCUUGGACCGUCGCAAGACGACUACUGCGAGNNUUUUUUNCCCAANAAA
This 926-nucleotide ribosomal RNA is filed under the name Phrynarachne katoi. RNAcentral's name for it is "SSU rRNA". It matches the Rfam family "Eukaryotic small subunit ribosomal RNA", at positions 41 to 966 of the family's 1831-position model. Lineage: Eukaryota; Metazoa; Arthropoda; Arachnida; Araneae; Thomisidae. The record is from RNAcentral.